This 148-nucleotide unclassified non-coding RNA is filed under the name uncultured Cordana. RNAcentral's name for it is "sequence contains ITS2". The record is from RNAcentral. Lineage: Eukaryota; Fungi; Ascomycota.
CAACCCUCAAGCCCUGCUUGGUGUUGGGGUCCUACAUCACUGUAGGCCCUGAAAACUAGUGGCGGGCUCGCUAUAACUCCGAGCGUAGUAGUAAUAUCUCGUUUAGGAAGUGUAGCGGGUUCUGGCCGUUAAACCCCCAAUUUUAUAA